Molecule: ribosomal RNA, 319 nt
Filed under: Ensifer fredii
Lineage: Bacteria; Pseudomonadati; Pseudomonadota; Alphaproteobacteria; Hyphomicrobiales; Rhizobiaceae
Description: Sinorhizobium fredii bacterial LSU rRNA
Rfam family: Bacterial large subunit ribosomal RNA
Source: RNAcentral
UCUUAUAAGAGGAUUAGCGCGCGAAGCCGGCNUUAGUUUCAAGCAUUGUUGAAAGGUAUCUUAUCCUGAAUUCCCCACGGAUAAGAAGCGAACGCUGGGAACUGAAACAUCUAAGUACCUGCAGGAAAGGACAUCAACCGAGACUCCGCCCGUAGUGGUGAGCGAACACGCACCACGGCCGGGGGCAUUAAGAAUAAAGUGGAACCACCUUGAAAGGGCUGCCCUAGCGGGUGAAAACCCCUCACACAUAAAACACUUAUCUUCCUUAAGGAGGGCGGGACAAAAUCUGUCCUAACAGANGGAGAUGGUCCCACAAGAU